GGGGUUGUGGCUCAAUGGUAGAGCGCUCGCCUAGCAUGUGUGAGGCACUGGGUUCGAUCUUCAGCACCACA
RNAcentral lists this transfer RNA (71 nucleotides) under Marmota monax (woodchuck). RNAcentral describes it as "tRNA.Ala". It matches the Rfam family "tRNA". Rfam says of the family: Transfer RNA (tRNA) molecules are approximately 80 nucleotides in length. Their secondary structure includes four short double-helical elements and three loops (D, anti-codon, and T loops). Lineage: Eukaryota; Metazoa; Chordata; Mammalia; Rodentia; Sciuridae. The record is from RNAcentral.